AGUGAACGCUGGCGGUAGGCCUAACACAUGCAAGUCGAACGGCAGCACAGUAAGAGCUUGCUCUUACGGGUGGCGAGUGGCGGACGGGUGAGGAAUACAUCGGAAUCUACUUUUUCGUGGGGGAUAACGUAGGGAAACUUACGCUAAUACCGCAUACGACCUACGGGUGAAAGCAGGGGAUCUUCGGACCUUGCGCGAUUGAAUGAGCCGAUGUCGGAUUAGCUAGUUGGCGGGGUAAAGGCCCACCAAGGCGACGAUCCGUAGCUGGUCUGAGAGGAUGAUCAGCCACACUGGAGCUGAGACACGGUCCAGACUCCUACGGGAGGCAGCAGUGGGGAAUAUUGGACAAUGGGCGCAAGCCUGAUCCAGCCAUACCGCGUGGGUGAAGGAGGCCUUCGGGUUGUAAAGCCCUUUUGUUGGGAAAGAAAAGCAGCAGGUUAAUACCCCGCUGUUCUGACGGUACCCAAAGAAUAAGCACCGGCUAACUUCGUG
Molecule: ribosomal RNA, 492 nt
Filed under: uncultured bacterium
Lineage: Bacteria
Description: partial 16S ribosomal RNA
Rfam family: Bacterial small subunit ribosomal RNA
Source: RNAcentral